CCCAGCUGUAGGCAACAGCCUAGGUCGCUUUGUACCUAAGCAAGUGUUACACUGCUAGGAGAAAAACAGCUAAUACCUGCAGGGCAACCUGGGCCUAGUUAUACCAAAUUUGUGUUAACUAU
Ochotona princeps (American pika) is the source of this 122-nucleotide small nucleolar RNA. Its record names the gene SNORA74. It matches the Rfam family "Small nucleolar RNA SNORA74". From Rfam's summary of the family: U19 belongs to the H/ACA class of snoRNAs. snoRNAs bind a number of proteins (including dyskerin, Gar1p and Nop10p in the case of the H/ACA class) to form snoRNP complexes. This class are thought to guide the sites of modification of uridines to pseudouridines by forming direct base pairing interactions with substrate RNAs. Targets may include ribosomal and spliceosomal RNAs but the exact functions of many snoRNAs, including U19, are not confirmed. Lineage: Eukaryota; Metazoa; Chordata; Mammalia; Lagomorpha; Ochotonidae. The record is from Ensembl.